CAAGAGCGUAUAUUAAAGUUGCUGCGGUUAAAAAGCUCGUAGUUGGAUUUCAGUCUAGGAAGGUUAACUCGCCGAAAGGUUGUACGUUGAUUUUCCUCAGACUUCGUCAGAAGCUCGUGCUGCACUUAACUGUGUGGUACGAUGUUCUGACCUUUUACCUUGAGGAAAGUAGAGUGUUUCAGGCAGGCUACCCAGCUUGAAUACAUUAGCAUGGAAUAAUGAAAUGGAUCUCGGUUCGAUUUCGUUGGUUCUAGAGCUGAGGUGAUGAUCAAUAGGAACAGGCGAAGGUAUUCGUACUUGAGAGUGAGGAGUGAAAUCCGAUGAUCUCUUAAAGACGAUCCGAGGCGAAAGCAUCUGUCAAGGAUGUUUUCAUUGA
RNAcentral lists this ribosomal RNA (376 nucleotides) under uncultured eukaryote. RNAcentral describes it as "partial 18S ribosomal RNA". It matches the Rfam family "Eukaryotic small subunit ribosomal RNA", at positions 592 to 976 of the family's 1831-position model. The record is from RNAcentral.